GUGGGGAAUAUUGGACAAUGGGCGCAAGCCUGAUCCAGCCAUACCGCGUGGGUGAAGAAGGCCUUCGGGUUGUAAAGCCCUUUUGUUGGGAAAGAAAUCCUGUCGAUUAAUACUCGGUGGGGAUGACGGUACCCAAAGAAUAAGCACCGGCUAACUUCGUGCCAGCAGCCGCGGUAAUACGAAGGGUGCAAGCGUUACUCGGAAUUACUGGGCGGAAAGCGUGCGUAGGUGGUGGUUUAAGUCUGCUGUGAAAGCCCUGGGCUCAACCUGGGAAUUGCAGUGGAUACUGGAUCACUAGAGUGUGGUAGAGGGAUGCGGAAUUUCUGGUGUAGCAGUGAAAUGCGUAGAGAUCAGAAGGAACAUCCGUGGCGAAGGCGGCAUCCUGGGCCAACACUGACACUGAGGCACGAAAGCGUGGGGAGCAAACAGGAUUAGAUACCCCUGUAGUCC
RNAcentral lists this ribosomal RNA (450 nucleotides) under uncultured bacterium. Its description in RNAcentral is "partial 16S ribosomal RNA". It matches the Rfam family "Bacterial small subunit ribosomal RNA", at positions 354 to 796 of the family's 1533-position model. The record is from RNAcentral.